CUGUGAAGUCACUCAAACACGUGUCGCGUCACCACAAAGCGCUCGUGAAGUUGCGCGAGGUGCUCAGUCACCGCUGCUGUUUGUCGUGAGGUAACUUAAACAUUGUGAAAUCUGUCUGUCUGCUGGGUGAAAUAGAAAUGGAAGUAAUGGACAGCCCUCUAAAUCGUAAAGCAUGACAGUUGUUUUUCCACAGGCCCAUCAUUUUGGCCGAAAGGCAGAUCAGUUGGUGGCAAAGGAAAAAUUUGAAGAGGCGAUUUUAUGCCAUAGGAAAGCAGCAGAGCUGAUGAAAGAGGCCUUGUCAGUGACACCGAGUGAACAGGUAAAACAGCAUGUGUCUGACAGACAGGUGGGACUCUAUU
This is a long non-coding RNA of Sinocyclocheilus rhinocerous, 359 nucleotides long. RefSeq lists it as uncharacterized. Lineage: Eukaryota; Metazoa; Chordata; Actinopteri; Cypriniformes; Cyprinidae. The transcript is spliced from 3 exons. The record is from RefSeq and is a predicted model, not a curated record.